UACGUAGGGGGCAAGCGUUGUCCGGAAUCAUUGGGCGUAAAGAGCGUGUAGGCGGCCCGAUAAGUCCGCUGUAAAAGUCCAGGGCUCAACCCUGGAAAGCCGGUGGAUACUGUCGGGCUCGAGUCCGGAAGAGGCGAGUGGAAUUCCUGGUGUAGCGGUGGAAUGCGCAGAUAUCAGGAGGAACACCGAUGGCGAAGGCAGCUCGCUGGGACGGUACUGACGCUGAGGCGCGAAAGCGUGGGGAGCGAACAGG
This 253-nucleotide ribosomal RNA is filed under the name uncultured bacterium. RNAcentral describes it as "partial 16S ribosomal RNA". It matches the Rfam family "Bacterial small subunit ribosomal RNA", at positions 524 to 776 of the family's 1533-position model. The record is from RNAcentral.